Molecule: long non-coding RNA, 867 nt
Organism: Herpailurus yagouaroundi (jaguarundi)
Lineage: Eukaryota; Metazoa; Chordata; Mammalia; Carnivora; Felidae
Exons: 2
Source: RefSeq, a predicted model, not a curated record
ACAAGGAAAAGACAAAGGUUUGAAAUCUAUGUUUGAACCAAAUGAAACUGCCAUAUCUGGAGGUAAAAAGAAAAAUGCUUGCCUAUCAGCAGUUUCAUAUGAUUCAUUCUAAGAUUCUUCGGGCCCAGUGCUUCUGGUUAAAGAGAAACUCUCCCUGCUGUAUCGGAUUCCAUCACGACCUUUUCUUUGACAUUUACGCUGAAUGUGCCCCAUAUGCUCAUACAUUACUGAAAUCCAACACCACUUAAUCUUGGUUUUGUAACAGUGUGAGGUUCAUCUCUUGGUUUAGUUUUCCUGUGUGUAUAAAUACUACUUGAUUUAAAGGAAAAACAUGCUGAAGCCAGUAUUCACAGAAAAAUAAUUCCCUCUGUAUUCAGGUUAUACAAUGUUUUUUGGAAAAGUUUAGCUACAGCAUAGAAGUUAGCUAAAUUGGUCUUUCAUCACCGAAACUUCUCUCUAGUCACACGUAAAACGACUACAGCUGUUCCCUCAACGAGAGGCUGCAUCCUGGAGUGUGGAGCUGCUUGGAAAAGCGCUCGGCAGCCGGCAGCCACUCCCAGGAUACAGUCCCCAGACCACCUACCUCUCAUCAGCUGAAAGUGCCCAUGAAAAACGAAGCUUCUCUAAAUGCAAUGUGGAAUCCUGUAUUGGAUCCUGGAAUAGAUAAAGAACAUUAGUGGAAAAUCUGGUGAGAUCCAAAUGAAGUCUGGAGUUAAUGGUAACAUGCCAGCGUUGACUUCUUCGUUUUGACAGUGACCUUUGAUGACAUGUUAGCAUUAGGGCACAAUGAUUAAGGGGUAUACAGGAACUGGAUUAUCUUUGCAAAUUUUCUAUAAACAUAAAGUAAGUCCAAAAUAAACUUUUCUU